GGAGCGUAAGGGUGGCAAGGCGCCCGAGAGUCAGGGCUGGAGCUGAAGGUGGGUGACAGGGAGGGGGCGCCCAGGUGUCAGGACCUGAGGAGAAAGAGUGCGCGUAGCGGGAGGGCCCCGAAGUGUCGGGGCGGGAUCCUGGAAGGAGGGAGAACGUGAGGAGGGAGGAAGGGUCCCUGGGGUGUCAGGGAUGGGGGCCAGGAAAGGGGCAGAGAGCUGGAGGCCCACAAGUGGGGAUAGCGGGGGAGGGAGGUUGGAGCGAGUGGGGAACGCAGGUGGUGUCGAGGGCGGGGACAGGGCGAGGGGAGCGGGGCGUGAGGAAGUUGUGGGAAACCGCGCUGGACGCUGAGAAUGUGCGGAAGGAUCCUGAGGGGAGGACGCGAGACAGCGCGAGGAGAGACGAGGAGAGUUAGGGUUGGCCGGGAGGGUGCGAAGAUGAAGCGACCACUGGAGGCUGUGAGGGUGAAAGGAGCAAGAAUCGUCUAGAGACGGGCUGGGCCGGUGCUGGGGCCAAAGGCUUCUGUCUGUCAGGCCCUUUUUGGCGCUCACUCUAGAAAGAAGAGGCGGAGACGCGAAGAGAUCGGGUUAGAGUCAGAUUUUCGAAGCACGGAGAUGGGUUCAAUGAAAGGACGAGGAAAGACGAGAAACCAGCGGCCGGAGAACGGAGAGUUCAACAAUUUUUAUGAAUUUCUAAUCCAACCUCAUCAUCCUAUGGGAAACAGAAGACCACCAAGAACAGCCAGCUGAGACAGAAUUUCACUGUGUUGCCCAAGCCAAUCUUAAACUCCUGGUCUCAAGCGAUCCUCCUGCCUUGGCCUCCCACUGUGCCUGGCCUAUGGACUCUGAAUUUUUUUAAAAGACUGGAAAAAACUUUUAUAAGAGAAUUGGAAAUUUGGACAAUGGAAUCUCAUUCUGUCACCAGGCUGAAGUGCAGUGACGUGAUCUUGGCUCACUGCAACCUCCACCUCCUGGGUUCAAGCGAUUCUCCUGCCUCAGCCUCCUGAGUAGCUGGGAUUACAGGUAUCUUGGCAGUAACCUCCUCCAUAUAUUUCCUUGGCCCUCAGCUUACAUCUAGCAAAAUGACUCUACUGGUUCCAGGCUUCACAUGCAUACAACAUGGUGUUGGAGGAACAGAGAUGUUUUCUCUUCCUGGUGUUUUCCCAGACAUUUCUUAGCUGGCAUUUCAAACAAGGGUCCUGAAAUUCACCCUGGUUGGGUCGUGUUCUCCCCUUCCCAUUCCCCAUCCCCACCCUCAACCGAAAAAUGAUGUAAGCAGGGGAAAUUGAAUGUACCAAUGUUUGUUUUUAAACAAGCCACAGACCCCUCCCCAACUCCCCGACUGAAGCUUGAAGUGGGAUCAGCUUUCCCUAAAGUACUUGAGCUUAUGGUAAAGCAUAUAUGUUAUCCAAGUUAAAGUCUGGACGCUGUUAGUAAUGGGAAGGCAAGUAAUGAAUGUUAGCUAUGGAGCCAACAGACAGUGUCCACUCCAUUGUCUUUAAGGCCCAACUAAAGAUAACCUCUUUACCAAUGUCGGUUUAUUUAUUCAUUUAUUUAUUCAUUGAGAUGGAGUCUCACUCUCUCACCCAAGCUGGAGUGCAGUGGAAUGAUCUCAGCUGACUGCAAUUUCUGCCUCCCAGGUUCAAGCAAUCUCCUGCUUCAGCCUCCCAAGUAGCUGGGAUUACAGGCGCACACCACCAUGCCCGGCUAAUUUUUGUAUUUUUAGUAGAGAUAGGGUUUCACCAUGUUGGCCAAGCUGGUCUCGGACACCUGACCUCAAGUGAUCUGCCUGCCUCGGCCCCCAAAGGUGUGAGCCACUGCACCUGGCUACAAUGUCAGUUUCUAUAAAAACUGCCUUGACUUGUUUUGUUUGCUUGUUUUGUUUGUUUGUGUUUUAAUUUUUAUUAUUUUUUUUUAGAGACAGGGUCUCAAUCUGUUGUCUAGGCUUGAGUGCAGUGGUGCAAUCAUAGCUCACUGAAGUGUUGGACUCCCAGGCUCAAGCAGUCCUCCCACCUCAGCCUCCCAAGUAGCUGAGACUACAGGCAUGCACCACCCUGUCUGGCUAAUUUUUUAUUUUUAGUAGAGAUGAGGUCUCACUAUGUUGCCCAAGGUGGCCUCAAACUCCUGGCCUCAAGUACUCCUGUGGCCUUAGCCUCCCAAAGCUCUGGGAUUGCAGGUAUGAGCCGCCAUGCCUGGCCUACUGUAUAUUUUAUGCAUUUGAUAUAAGUCUUGCCUCCCUAAGUAUAUUACAAGUCCCUUGAAGUUAAAGACAUUAGAUUCCUACUCAGUGCUGAGCUGCAACAGAGAGCACUCAAUGAUGGAUAAAAUAGUUUUAGCAUGCAUUCAGCGAUAUAUAUUUAGAAAGUGGAACUAGGUGGUUGAAAAAAGUGUAUAGAUGGGUGGAAGGGAAUAUUACAGCUCUUAGAAUUGUCCUAAGGUGAGAGUAACAAAUUAAGCAAUGAGUCCCUGGGUUCACUCAAGCAACUUCACUCUCUAAAACAAGAGCCCACAGAAUCCCAUUUCUGCUUUCAGAAUGAGUUUGAGGCCAAUAUUAUUUCCAUUUUUUUUCUUUUUCUUUCUUUCUUUUUUUUUUUUUUUUUUUUGAGACGGAGUUUCACUCUUGUUGCCCAGGCUGUUUUGAUCUCGGCUCACUGCAACCUCUGCCCCUGGGUUCAAGCGAUUCUCCUGUCUCAACCUCCCAAGCUGGGAUUACAAGCAUGCGCUACCACACCUGGCUAAUUUUGUAUUUUUAAUAGAGACGGGGUUUCUCUGUGUUGGUCAGGCUGGUCUCAAACUCCCAACCUCAGGUGAUCUGCCCACCUUGGCCCAGCCUCCAAUAUGAUUUUCUAAUAGCUGUGUUUGAUGAUUAUAUUUAUUCCUCCAUCAGUAGCUUUUUUAGCCUUGAAAAUAUCUAUUUAAGUUUCUUAUUUCCUUUGGAUCUAUCAAAGUGUUUUUCCCCAAGUGGCACCUGGGAAAACAUAUUCUAUUCAUUUAUUUUAUAACUGUUCCCUUGACCUCUUUAUUGCUUCCCUAUUACAACCCAAGAUGCUCUUGUAAACCUGACUUAAUAUUGGCAGUCUUCAUCCCUUGCAAAUGGAAGUGAUGACAGACCCAAUACUUUGUGUAAAAAUAUUUUGCUAUUUCUAUACAAAAUAUUUUAUUAAUGGAAACCACAUGUUAUGUAUUUUACAUAUGUUAUGACUUGAAAUUUAUGUUAUGACUUGAAAUUGGGGAAUCUGAUAUGUCUCUAAUAAUAAAGGCUUCACAGUA
Molecule: long non-coding RNA, 3267 nt
Filed under: Homo sapiens (human)
Lineage: Eukaryota; Metazoa; Chordata; Mammalia; Primates; Hominidae
Description: HSALNT0348932
Source: RNAcentral